RNAcentral lists this ribosomal RNA (1031 nucleotides) under Burkholderia pseudomallei 354e. Its description in RNAcentral is "partial 16S ribosomal RNA". Lineage: Bacteria; Pseudomonadati; Pseudomonadota; Betaproteobacteria; Burkholderiales; Burkholderiaceae. The record is from RNAcentral.
GUCUUUCGAUCUGGAGCCACAUCCUUCACUACCCUCUUGCCCAGGCGGAUACGCACAACUCACAGUAGGACAAUUAAUCGUCGGACGAAAGGAGGGCCGCAUUAGUCAGUUUCCAAGCGUGAUUGUUAUGCGCUUGUGACACCGACUUGCGCCACAUAGCGUCGAAUUUCCUUUACGGUUAACUAACGGAUAGGUUUGCAGCCCUGCGCGAGUGGCGACAGCGGUCGACUUUUCGACUCAGCCAUUAGAAACGGGGCGUUGCCAAGCGACCGAAUUAUCGAGCCCGCUUCGCCCAGCAACAUGAAGGUAUGGUCGACGCCCUGCAACAAAUAGUACGUCGCGUCGGGCACCGCCGGAUUAGCCGAAUGAGUGAGUGUUACUGCGCGAUAUUGCCAGCGCAUCUUGCGCCCCUCGCACGCCCAAUCUUGCAGCUCCUGCGCGGAGAGAGAACGAUCGCUAUCGUACUGAUAUGGCACUCGACCCGUCACUGCCAGAUAAAUCUUUGCGAAGUCUUACCGACCUAGCCGGCGUGGUUCGUCCAAAAAUGUUUUAACGAACAGUGUGUACCCGAUGAGCACGCCCUCCGUUGGCACGACGGCAAGCAGCAUCACGAGUGUGAUGCGUUGCAUGGGGCGGUGUGGACGAACAACAGGAUCGCGUUCGGCAAGGAAGGGGCCUCGCGGCCCAAGCACUUUCCAUCGCCACCACGCGUCGCAUUCGAAUCGCGCUUGCGGCGCGACACCGCGCGUCGCAGCAUGGGCGGCGGCAGCGAAGCGGCGCCGCAAUUCGAUUUGAUCAAUUCCACUACGAAGCACACGUCUGGUUCGUCGAUACCACGGCUUGAGGCGCACGAACGGCCAUCGUGCCCUCAACCAUGCCGGUACCGUUGCCCAGAGCCACACAAUCAAGACCGGCGCCAAGAAGAAUAGUAGCGGCAUCAUCCAGACGCGCGAGACGGUUGCACCCGCCAACAUUAGGUUCAUCGCGGAAUCCCGGGGAACGCGGCGCGGAUCUUGAGGAAGAAGUAUUGC